CCUAAACUUAUAUCUUAAUCCAACAUCGAGGUCGCAAUCUUUUUUAUCGAUAUGAACUCUCCAAAAAAAUUACGCUGUUAUCCCUAAAGUAACUUAAUUUUUUAAUCAUUAUUAAUGGAUCAAUUAUUCAUAAAUUAAUGGUUUUAAAUAAUUAAAAGUUAAUUAAAUUUUAAUAUCACCCCAAUAAAAUAUAAUUAAAUAUCAUAAAAAAAAAUAUCUAAAUAAUUAAAAUAAUAAUUAUAUAAAGAUUUAUNGGGUCUUCUCGUCUUUUAAAUAAAUUUUAGCUUUUUAACUAAAAAAUAAAAUUCUAUUAUAAUUUUAAAUGAAACAGUAAAUAUCUUGUUCAACCAUUCAUACAAGCCUNCAAUUAAAAGACUAA
Molecule: ribosomal RNA, 379 nt
Filed under: Protonephrocerus chiloensis
Lineage: Eukaryota; Metazoa; Arthropoda; Insecta; Diptera; Pipunculidae
Description: partial 16S ribosomal RNA
Source: RNAcentral